Paramisgurnus dabryanus is the source of this 389-nucleotide non-coding RNA. RefSeq annotates it as small Cajal body-specific RNA 2. NCBI's taxonomy places the organism in Eukaryota, Metazoa, Chordata, Actinopteri, Cypriniformes, Cobitidae. The record is from RefSeq and is a predicted model, not a curated record.
UUGCGACUGUGUAAAUGUUUCCCAGCAUUCCACACUUCUAUAUAAUGACGUCAAACAGGAAGUAAGUUCAUUUGUGUGUGAGUCGUGUGUGUGAGGUGAGUGUUCGACUGCGUUUGUAUGUUUUGUGUUUAUGUUUAAAAAAAAUCUACACCGUGAUCUUAUUUGAUCUGAUCCUUGUUGCCCUGCUCGGAUUCAGAGAUGAUAGUAACCGACUCGCGAGCUCCUGUAGCGAUGAUCGUGAGGCAUUUUCACAUAACUCGGGGCAACUGCAGUUCAAGCUGUGGUGAGAAGUGAUGAAUCUGAUCAGAUAUACAAGAGCAGACUGGUUAUUGGGUUUUUACCCAGUGAUUUCUGUUUGUUCAGUGAGUAUAUAAGCGAUCCUGAUCUCA